GUGUCAGCCGCCGCGGUAAUACGUAGGGGCCUAGCGUUGUCCGGAAUCAUUGGGCGUAAAGAGCGCGUAGGCGGCCCGGUAAGUCCGCUGUAAAAGUCAAAGGCUUAACCUUUGAAAGUCAGUGGAUACUGCCGGGCUAGAGUCCGGAAGAGGCGAGUGGAACUCCUGGUGUAGCGGUGGAAUGCGCAGAUAUCAGGAAGAACACCAACGGCGAAGGCAGCUCGCUGGGACGGAACUGACGCUGAGGCGCGAAAGCGUGGGGAGCGAACAGGAUUAGAUACCCCGGUAGUCC
Molecule: ribosomal RNA, 292 nt
Filed under: uncultured bacterium
Lineage: Bacteria
Description: partial 16S ribosomal RNA
Rfam family: Bacterial small subunit ribosomal RNA
Source: RNAcentral